RNAcentral lists this ribosomal RNA (373 nucleotides) under uncultured organism. Its description in RNAcentral is "bacterial SSU rRNA". It matches the Rfam family "Bacterial small subunit ribosomal RNA", at positions 526 to 896 of the family's 1533-position model. The record is from RNAcentral.
CGGGGGGAGCAAGCGUUGUUCGGAUUUACUGGGCGUAAAGGGCGCGUAGGCGGCGCGACAAGUCACUUGUGAAAUCUCCGGGCUUAACCCGGAGCGGCCAAGUGAUACUGUAGUGCUAGAGUGCGGAAGGGGCUACUGGAAUUCUCGGUGUAGCGGUGAAAUGCGUAGAUAUCGAGAGGAACACCUGCGGCGAAGGCGGGUAGCUGGGCCGACACUGACGCUGAGGCGCGAAAGCCAGGGGAGCGAACGGGAUUAGAUACCCCGGUAGUCCUGGCCUUAAACGAUGGAUACUUGGUGUCCGGGGUUACAUAGUCCCCGGGUGCCGGCGCUAACGCAUUAAGUAUCCCGCCUGGGGAGUACGGUCGCAAGACUG